CUCCUUAGAUUUUAUUUACAUUUCUAAAUAUUGCUUUAGUAUUUUUUUAAAAGUAUCAGACAGCUGUGUUUCAACCAAAAUUUCUAAAAUGAAUCCACUGAGUUCAUAUCUACCCACAGUUGACGCAGAAGUUAGAUUUCUAGCUCCCACCUCCCCCUUACUCCUUCUUUAAUUUCAUAUCAAUUUAUACAAUCUAUACAAAUAGGGCUCUAUCAUAUGAGCCAACUUAUCACUUCCAUUUAGAGGUUUACACAGUAAUUCCACAAAGAAAACUUUUUUACUUUACAUAAUUGAAAGGAUUAUGUG
Molecule: long non-coding RNA, 306 nt
Filed under: Bos taurus (domestic cattle)
Lineage: Eukaryota; Metazoa; Chordata; Mammalia; Artiodactyla; Bovidae
Description: long non-coding RNA NONBTAT000741
Source: RNAcentral